GCAGACGUAGCUAAGCGGAUAUAGCGGCGGCCUCCGAAGCCGCAGGCGUGGGUUCGACCCCCACCGUUUGCA
Molecule: transfer RNA, 72 nt
Filed under: Peptoclostridium acidaminophilum DSM 3953
Lineage: Bacteria; Bacillati; Bacillota; Clostridia; Peptostreptococcales; Peptoclostridiaceae
Rfam family: tRNA
About the family: Transfer RNA (tRNA) molecules are approximately 80 nucleotides in length. Their secondary structure includes four short double-helical elements and three loops (D, anti-codon, and T loops).
Source: Rfam by way of RNAcentral